This 253-nucleotide ribosomal RNA is filed under the name uncultured bacterium. RNAcentral's name for it is "partial 16S ribosomal RNA". It matches the Rfam family "Bacterial small subunit ribosomal RNA", at positions 524 to 776 of the family's 1533-position model. The record is from RNAcentral.
UACGAAGGGGGCUAGCGUUGUUCGGAAUCACUGGGCGUAAAGGGCGCGUAGGCGGAUUGUUAAGUCAGGGGUGAAAUCCCGAGGCUCAACCUCGGAACUGCCUUUGAUACUGGCGAUCUUGAGUCCGGGAGAGGUGAGUGGAACUCCUAGUGUAGAGGUGAAAUUCGUAGAUAUUAGGAAGAACACCAGUGGCGAAGGCGGCUCACUGGCCCGGAACUGACGCUGAUGCGCGAAAGCGUGGGGAGCAAACAGG